UACAGAGGUCCCAAGCGUUGUUCGGAUUCACUGGGCGUAAAGGGUGCGUAGGUGGCAGGGCAAGUCUGACGUGAAAUCUCCGAGCUUAACUCGGAAAUGGCGUUGGAAACUGCUUUGCUCGAGGGUUGGAGGGGGGACUGGAAUACUUGGUGUAGCAGUGAAAUGCGUAGAUAUCAAGUGGAACACCAGUGGCGAAGGCGAGUCCCUGGACAACUCCUGACACUGAGGCACGAAAGCUAGGGGAGCAAACGGG
RNAcentral lists this ribosomal RNA (253 nucleotides) under uncultured bacterium. RNAcentral's name for it is "partial 16S ribosomal RNA". It matches the Rfam family "Bacterial small subunit ribosomal RNA", at positions 524 to 776 of the family's 1533-position model. The record is from RNAcentral.